GGCGUACUGCUCAGUAACACGUGGAUAACCUGCCCUUAGGACUGGCAUAACCCCGGGAAACUGGGGAUAAUUCCGGAUAGUUCAUGGUAGCUGGAAUGCUCCAUGAUCGAAAGCUAUUGCGCCUAAGGAUGGGUCUGCGGUCUAUCAGGUAGUAGUGGGUGUAAUGUACCUACUAGCCGACGACGGAUACGGGUUGUGGGAGCAAGAGCCCGGAGAUGGAUUCUGAGACAUGAAUCCAGGCCCUACGGGGCGCAGCAGGCGCGAAAACUUUACAAUGCGGGAAACCGCGAUAAGGGGACACCGAGUGCCAGCAUCUUAUGUUGGCUGUCCGCAUGUAUAAAUCACAUGUGUUAGAAAGGGCCGGGUAAGACCGGUGCCAGCCGCCGCGGUAAUACCGGUGGCUCGAGUGGUGGCCGCUAUUAUUGGGUCUAAAGGGUCCGUAGCCGGCUUGAUAAAUUACCCGGGAAAUCCGGUGGCCUAACCAUCGGGCGGCCAGGUAAUACUAUCAGGCUCGGGACUAGGAGAGACCAGAGGUACUCAUGAGGUAGGAGUGAAAUCCUGUAAUCUUAUGAGGACCACCAGUGGUGAAGACGUCUGGUUAGAAUAGGUCCGACGGUGGGGGACGAAGGCUGGGGGCGCAAACCGGAUUAGAUACCCGGGUAGUCCCAGCAGUAAACGAUGCCAGCUAUGUGUUGCUGGAACCAUGGGUUCCAGCAGUGCCGAAGGGAAGCCGUGAAGCUGGCCACCUGGGAAGUACGGUCGCAAGGCUGAAACUUAAAGGAAUUGGCGGGGGAGUACCACAACCGGUGGAGCCUGCGGUUUAAUUGGAUUCAACGCCGGG
This 841-nucleotide ribosomal RNA is filed under the name uncultured archaeon. Its description in RNAcentral is "bacterial SSU rRNA". It matches the Rfam family "Archaeal small subunit ribosomal RNA", at positions 80 to 922 of the family's 1478-position model. The record is from RNAcentral.